ACACCUUACUCACUCCACCUCGCUCAAGCUCCCUCCCUCUCUCAUCUUCCUCACUCCACCGCACACACCUAGUAUACUCCCCUGCCUCCCGCCCUCUGCUUCGCUCCACCUCGCCAGUGCGGUCCAAGAAACAGCCCGACGCGGCUCCUCGGCAGUCCCCGACGGCCUCCAGAGACCCCACAGGCUCCUCGCCGCCAGCCUGCCACUCGCGACCCAACCAAUCGGCUCCACGGCGAGGAGCAGGAGCACCUCCUCGGGGACCCCUAGGAAGGCCCGAUUGGAGCAGCGCGCAGGAUUGCAAACGAAGGGAUCUAUGGAAAUGGAGGAGUAAGAGUGUUAAAUUCAUAUAUUCAUCGAACUUACCAGAGAUCAAAUCGACACGUCGAGGGGAUCUGCCAAUUUUCACCGCCGUAGCUAUUUGCAUAAGUCGGGGUUUGCUCGCCAUGCUGAUUGUCUCGGAGGAGUAGAGCGAAAUUUGGGCAAGUGGGUCCGUGUGUGAUUUGCGAUUUGUAAUAAUUGAAAAUUAAGUUUAUAGAAGGUGGCAUGGGAAGGUGAUUAUUCUGUCUGUUUGUAUAAGGAAGGUGCUCUCAUCUUAAUUAUCACAUUACCUGUGGGACGUUUAGAAUGUCAUAUUUUCUUCCGCACAACUUAUGAAUAGUAUUGAGCAGACUGGAGCACGUACUGGCUUCCAAGCUAAUCAAACGUCAAGUUCAAAAAAAUUGACAUAUAUUCUACUGAAAGAAUCAGUGAUACUGUGUAUGGUUGUCCAACAUAUUUUCUUUUUCUCCUGAUAGUUUCAAAAACUGCAACUUGUUUGUUAUUCGACUUGUGGAUGACGAAUAUUUGUUCAUGGCUACAGAAAGGGACGUACUUCUACCACAGGCACUUCAUAAUGCAGAGGGCAGCAGGGCUGUAUGGAUCUCUAUUGUGGAUGUGGCAGACGGGGAGGAUGUACCACGAGAACAUCUACAUCCAGAUGGUUGGCCUCUCCUCCGACCCCAUGAGAUGGAUCGGUGAGACACAGGUAACCGUCAGUUGUUGAUAUCCAAAUGCAAAAUCACAAAAAUGGUUUUAUGAUGGUAAGAGUUUCGAGUAAAUUUCAAAACACAGAAAACAUUACCCGGAGAAUUUUCCUACAAAUGGCACUGGCAGUUCAACUCUGAAAUUUUGAACUGGAAUCACCCUAGAAAAGUUAAGUUUACCGGUGAAUUGGAUGCUUUACAUCUCAUCAACUUGAUUAGUUCCGAAAAUUGAUACACCGCUUUCCUGAUAUAAUUUUAUCAUUUGAUACUUUCUAGUUAUGCAGACAUGUCGAGUUCAAUUAUUAUUACGCACUAUAGUUAAAUAAAAUGAGCUGUUUGUGCAGCAUACAUAUAUAUAUGAUAGCAAAAGGUAUUGCUAGGAUUUCUUUUAUGAAAAUUCUUACUCUUGUCAGCUAACUAAUCGUUUAAGAAAAAUAUGGGAUGUUGCUACACACUCAAUAUAGUUAAGCAAGCAUGGCCUUAAAGAUGCAGCUGAUGGUGAUAAAAUUAUCGUAAUGCACACAUAGUCAGCUCUCGCUGAUAACCUUAUCUAUUGACUUAACUGGAAUUGUUCACUAAUAAUGGUCAAUGGCAUAGCACUUUAAUCUGAAUCUCUCAUAACCUUAAUAAUUCAGGACACUUUCCUUUAGGAAAUGCUAUUUUCUCCUUGAAAUCUUUCAUGUCAGAUGCUGUCUGGUGGUCGAAAAUGAUAGGAGAUUCUGCGUCAAUUUCUGGUGUUAACGACAGCUACCGUGGUUUCUUGUUGUGUUGCAGUCGUUACAGUUGUUGCUAUUAUCUCCCUUGACAUCUGGCUGCUCAUAUUAUGGGGUUCCAUUUAAAUCAUUCAAAAUAGACUCAUGCAGAAUAAUAGCUGACUGCUUCCUAAAUAGUUUGAUACCCUUCUGCAAAUUAGUUAUUCGAAUUAAUUAGUUGCAGCACGGAUAUUGAUUGUAAUAUAAUAUUGACAGUAAUAUAAUUUUAUGAUACAUGUGUUACAGCGUGAGCUAGUUCGUCCUGUCCAAUGUUCCAUGAGUUUUAGCAAAACCAAGCCGCAUGACGAGCUACAAGAGUUUUAAAAUAAUAUUGGCCCAUAUGGAUGUUAAAUAUAAGGAAUUUCUGAAUAGUCACAAAGUGUAGUAAGCUUCUAACAUACCCAUCUGAUUGCAAUGGCUCGUGAAUACACUGCUCUAUUGGCCAGUUAGUUACUUCAAGGUCUGGCCACUUAUCACCUUUGUUGAAGUCACUAAUCUGAGAAGCAAUCUUAAGAUGAUUCUCAACACCCAGUAGUUGUUAAAUAGAAAAGAGCAUGACAUGUCCAUGUAAAAUAAAUGUUAUUUCACAAACAAUGUAAACUGAGUAAGUAUGGGAGUAGUAAACGCUCACUGUAAGUUGCAGGUCGGGCUGGCUCAUCCGAGAGCUGAACGAGUCAAGUACCUGUAUGUGGCGGUUUGGUGCAUCGACAUUACAUAUAUACCAAUGGUGAAUCGACAUUACAUGCUGAUAAAGUUGGACACCAUUAUGUAGUUAGGAUUAUCCUGGACCUUAUACAAUAGUGGUCAGUCUGAUGUCCUUUUAAGUGAUAACAUAGAUGAAAGUGAGAUCUGAGCUGAUAUUGUUGGCACAUACUUGAACCAAAAGAGUCAAGUAUUUGUAUGCAGCGAUUAGGCCCAUCGACGUUAAGUAAAAUCCAAUGAUUUAUAUUCGCGUUAACUGGCACAAAGAGCUGACAACAAAGAAAGUAAGUGGUAUCCAUAGUUUUAGAUUUAAAUAUGUAUGUAAUCAGAAAGUAUUGUGAUGUUACCAUCCAUUGUGGAAAUAUUUUCUUACGUCUCAUCCAACCAUCCAUUGUGUUAAAACAAGCACUCUAGGUCACUGCGCUUCAAGCAUGCGUCUAGUAUCUGCACCAGUUUGAUCUUUUGAGGCAAAGACAUGAUGUAUUCUUUUAUUUUCUCUUCGGUCAUCGCUUCCAUGGGCAAAACGUUUGUGCUCAUCUAUAUCAAGAUAAGCAAGAGUUGUUAGAAAAUAAAAAGAUAGUCAUGCGGAUCAUAUUAAUUCAAUUAGUCAUUGAAAGGACAAGUAUGCGAACUUUCCCAUCAAUAGGAUUGGCAAGCUAAGUGAAUGUACAAAGGCAAUAUACUUAGUUGCUUCCUUUCCAGAGUAUGAUGCCAGAUUAUACUUUCUUUGGGAAUAUGUUAUAACCAUGAAAAUAAUAUACCUUAGGAUAAGACUUUGCUUGUUGUGGUAGAUUUACAAAGAUUUUACUUGUUGCGGUAGAUUUUACUAUGCCAGAAUUUUUUUUUGUCUAGCCUAGCGUAGCCUUAGUAGGUGUAUAGGAUGCACCAUAAUUUUUAUUAUCUGCAUUCACCUACAUGUUACACUAUAUCUACCGCAGUGGCAACUAACAUGGAAUUUCCUUUCAUGUUUACACUAUCUCUACGGCUGUGGCAACUAACAUGUAGUUUGGGUACAGGGAGAUGCAAGAGUUGCAACAAUUUUAUAAGAUGAACAUAAAGUUUUAGCAAUUCCAUGAAAGGUAUAUCUUUAAUACUCAGGCAUCUACUUUCGAACCAAUUUAGAGGGGAGACAACCAUCAUGCCAACCAAUUUAGAGGUGCGAUCAACUUAUCUCUAUAACCCAUGUUACUCUCUAGAUGCAACAGGAAACAUUGAUUAGGCUAGAGGCAUUAUGACCUGACACACGCGGCCUCCUAGCUUUGUUAACAGAUCGAGGAAAGAUAAUACCGGUACAUCUUUUCUAGUACAUCUUUUCUAUCUGCAUGAUAACUCCAGUCACGUGAGAAAUACUAUGAAGUAAAUAGAUUGCAUGUUAUGCUAUGAAGUAAAUAGAUCUCAAAGCCUGAAACCUCAAAUAUCCUAUCAUAUUGGUAUUAGUGAACUAUUAAAACAUGUUGACUUGACACACCAGAUUACCGCAGAUUCUCACAUGAUGGGGAAGUUCUUCCAACAAAUGGGGAGACAACCAAUUUAAAAAGUGCACACAGCUUAGAGGUGUGAUUACAUACCUCCACUCUCCCUGAUGAUCCCAACAGAGGUUGUAAACUCUCCCUGAUGAUUCGCAUGAUAAUACCAGCCAAGGUGCGAGAUCAGGAAAUGAUGGACAGUCGGAGGCUUCCUUUCCUUGUUUCCUGAUGGUGUGGUGAUGAAAAUCUGUGGAAAUGAUGGAGUUUGCUUUCAUGUUGCCCUCAAAUUAUGGUGCGGUAGAGAUGGUGAAAUAAUGGUGCGGUGAUUUUGCUGUGGAGUUUCUUUUCCUGUUGCCCUCAAAUUAUGGUGCCGUAUAGAUGCUAAAUUGUUUGAGGCUUCCUUUCCUGAUGGUAUAGAUGCUAAAUUGUUUUAGGCUUCCUUUCCUGAUGGUGUGGUGAUGAAAAUCUGUGGAAAUGAUAGUUUCCUUUCCUGUUGCCCUCAAAUUAUGGUGCGGUGAUUUUGCUGCGGAGUUUCUUUUCAUGUUGCCUGAAAAGGUGUAGUUUCCUUUUGUAGAGAUGCUAAAUUGUUUGAGGCUUCCUUUUGUGUUGCCCUGAAACGGUGGAGUUUCCUUUGCUGUGGAAUGAUGGCGUGGUUCAGAUACUGA
Lolium perenne is the source of this 4607-nucleotide long non-coding RNA. RefSeq lists it as uncharacterized. NCBI's taxonomy places the organism in Eukaryota, Viridiplantae, Streptophyta, Magnoliopsida, Poales, Poaceae. The record is from RefSeq and is a predicted model, not a curated record.